AUGAUUCGAGAACAUAUUUACGGUGUGUUAUUUUAUUUAUUCUCUAUUUUACUUUUUUCCUAUUUAAAUUGGCAGGGCAAGAGAAGAAAAAUAUAUCACAGUCUUUGCUGUGGGGUAGUUACUCAAAUCACUUUCCAUGUUAUUUUUGGUACUGGUUUGACAGAAGCAACCAGCAAGGACAGAAGAAUUGACUGCAAUGAUGUUUUUGGAGGCAUAUGCUGUCAUACAUGUAGAUGACUUAAUAUAUUCAUUACAGUGUACAAUAAUACGGUAUCCAGUUCUACAACUUAAAGAGAUGGAGACAUGCUUCUAUCAGAAGUGUCAGAGAGAAGAGUGAGUGACAUACAGCCAAGUCUUUCGUAGCUUAAUUCAGGUGGAGUGAAGCUCCUGUACUGUGAAGUGACGUGAAAUGACCGUGGCCAAGAUCAUACAACCUGACGAUAGAGCAGAGAAGAUUAUGCCAUCUCCACAUCCUUCUUCUCAUCCCAUAUCCUUUAGAGAGUAAACUUUACAAACAGAAUGGGUUUACUGUAGUAAGAAACAUUUAGCUGUUUUUGUGGCAGACAAGUGAAAUGAUAAGAGUCCUUCUCAUUGUAAUGUAUCAACUGCUAAAUGACUCCCAGAGGAGGCUAGUGAUGUUUUUCUUUCACUCUUCAGAGUAUCUCAUUACAUGAAAGGAAUACUAAGAAGAAUGACUGGGUGGAUUUUCCACACUCCGUCACUUGCUGUAGAAUGAUUCAAGAAAUUCCUAAAACAUAAUUAGUUUACAGAUGGAGUAAGCCAGAUUGUCACAAAAAGGGUAGAAUAAUUCAAUUGCACAGAAGACUCCCCCAUUUCUACCCUGACUAUUAGAAACCAUUUGAUAGUACUAGUCUUAGAGAAGCUGAAAACUAUUACUGCACAUCAGAUAGGUAUUAUCUGUCAUUUUGUUUUCAUUAAUUUUAGUUGCAGAGAGGUAAAAUAUAAAACUCAUCACAUUAGAGAAAUGGUUCUGUAUCUUGGGUAUGGCUCAGAGAGCAUUCAAGUUCCCAAACAGGAAUAUUACUUACAAGCUUGGACAGCCUUGUAGAAAAUGUGACUGGCUUACAAAGACAUCUAAAAUCAAAUGAAUGGCUCAAAUGGCUCAAAUGAACCAUGGAGUUACCUAUGAGUAAGUAUGUACAUAAAACCAGGACCGUUGCCUUCAAUUUGGAAAAGUUAACGAACUACUUCUAUUGAUUGUGCUCUAUGUUCAGCUGCACGUGCCACCAGUGUGCAAAUUGGGUGACUUUCACUUAAAUUUAUUUGCAAUGCAGAAGAGUGAGUGAGUAUAAAUAAACAACACAUAGGAACAUCUGUAAUUACCGAA
RNAcentral lists this long non-coding RNA (1348 nucleotides) under Struthio camelus australis. Its description in RNAcentral is "lncRNA (ENSSCUG00000012683.1)". Lineage: Eukaryota; Metazoa; Chordata; Aves; Struthioniformes; Struthionidae. The record is from RNAcentral.